This 301-nucleotide ribosomal RNA is filed under the name uncultured bacterium. Its description in RNAcentral is "partial 16S ribosomal RNA". It matches the Rfam family "Bacterial small subunit ribosomal RNA", at positions 509 to 807 of the family's 1533-position model. The record is from RNAcentral.
CAGCAGCCGCGGGAAUACGGAGGGAGCUAGCGUUGUUCGGAAUUACUGGGCGUAAAGCGCGCGUAGGCGGUUACUCAAGUCAGAGGUGAAAGCCCGGGGCUCAACCCCGGAACUGCCUUUGAAACUAGGUGACUAGAAUCUUGGAGAGGUCAGUGGAAUUCCGAGUGUAGAGGUGAAAUUCGUAGAUAUUCGGAAGAACACCAGUGGCGAAGGCGACUGACUGGACAAGUAUUGACGCUGAGGUGCGAAAGCGUGGGGAGCAAACAGGAUUAGAUACCCCCGUAGUCCCUGUCUCUUAUAC